AGCUGUGCUGUCUCACAGUUUAAUGGGAACACUGGCUAUGAUCCUUGGUUACUAGAAGAAACAAUUAACCAGCUCAGACAUAAUUCCCAAACAAGAAAAACAGUAAACCUUGGAAUACCUACAUUUUCCCCUAUUCUCCCAUUCUAAAGAAACCAGGGGAUCUGCUUUUGGGAGAGUUCAUCUCUCCUCUCUGUGCCUGGAGAAGAUUCUGUUUGAACCAAACAAAAGAGAUUGCUUUGUUCAGUUUGAAAUUCUUUAGCUGCAUUUCAUUGGCCAACGACCAAAGCCCCCCUGCCUCAGGUGCAGUGCUUUAAGGUUAACAUAAACCCUUUCAUCACUCUCCAGCACAUCUUUACAGCUGGCCAUACCUGCUACAUGCACCAGGAGAUCACCUGCUUGGAGCCACAUCAAGGUGCUGGACCUCAUCAGCUUCUGGGGAAAGGAUGCAGUCCAGUCCCAGUUGCUCUCCAGCCAUAGGAAUUAUACCUAUAAGCACAUCUCAAGGUGCAUGACUGAAAGGGACCAUGACCAGGACACACUGCAGUGCAUGGUCAAAGUAAAGGAACCAUGAAAUGCCUACCACAAUGUGUGAGAAGCAAACUGCCGUUCCUGUGCUGCACCCAUGACCUGCAGGUUCUUCAAAGGAGCUGAGUGAUAUACUUGGACGCAACCCCACCUCUGCUCCAAAGACUAAGCAUAGCUGCCAAUCCAUAAAAGUUAAGGACCAACCUAGAUAGCCUAUCAGUUAUUGUUACAACUAGAAAAGGGAGACUUUUUGGAUGUCGCAAGCUCAGGAGGGGGCUUAGUUCUGGAAUUCAAUUCCUGUUUGCCAGAGCACAAAUAUGGCUCUCUUCAGGGGAGAAUGUGAAGAGAUAGAAGGCCAGGACAUGCCCAGCUAAUCUUUUGGGCCCAUUAGUCAGCAUGUUGAGUAGCUUGGUUUAAAAUCAAAUAAAUACGACUAGAGAAAGUUUAAGGAACUAUGAAAAAAAGCUUUCAAAACCUGUUGUAAAUAAAUCAGAGAUCCAUAUUCCUGUGGUUUUGAAGAAUACUAUAUAUUCUUGUAUUCUUUUGUUUUAGAGGGGGGGGUUGGGCAUUUGCUCAAAGUCUAUUUCCAGGCAGUACGGUUUAGAUCUUCAGAAACUUCCACAGUUAAGGGAACUUUAAAUUAUUUCAGCAUAUCUGCUAUUGUAGGAUGGGAUGAAUUUAAAACAUUCACUCUGAAAGAAAAAGGUCACAUCUAGCAUGUCUUUAAUGAAAUAUUUUACAAUUGAUCUCUUCAAUGCUUACAAAGGGAAGUUUUUUGUAAAUUCAUUGUCUAUAAACUCAGUCUAGCCAAGUCAUGGUUCCACUAUUGCUAUCAGUAAUCUAGCUACGCUAGUAUAAUCUGUACUCUUGCUAGCGCAGUGACAGCAAGUGGAUAUUGCUAGGCAUCAACUUCUGCAUUGAGCACCAGGCAGUCUCAAGUCACUCAGAUUGCUCUCUGGUCUUGUAAAUAGGCAGAGUGGAAAAGGAGUAGAAUGCAUUCAUGUAGACUACGGAUGAAGAACCUUUUUUGGGGUUGGGGGUCACUAAUGCACAGUAAAAUCAGUCAGGUGAGAAGCAAAAAACAAGCCCUGAACUGAGAAGCAUGUAGACACAGGUGCACAUGCAAACCAAAAACAACCCCCACAAUGCCCCCUAGAGGUGACAUCCUUUUUUAUUUAGUAUUUUAGUGUGAUGUCUGAGACUGCUUUUCCUUGCUGAGCUUCAUUAUGUCUUCUGGACUGAAGAUGUUGCUAUUUUACCUAGCAGUGAUGCUUUGCAAUUCUGUAAAUUCAUGUUAAAAGGCUUCUAUAUUGAACUGUCUGAAAAAAAUGUUUAAUUCCAGUUCUUUUGAUCUUAGGUCUUGAAAUAGGACACAAUUUGUGAAAUAAAUGUGCAUAAUCCCUGGCAUAAUCUACUAUAGACACAAGUUUUUGUUCCUGAAAUGUUGGGAAAUGCACCAUAUUGCCCUUUCCAAGUUGCAUUUGCCACAUCUUUAAUUUAGCUUUGAAUGAUUUGACGUUUGAAAGAAGGGAAGCAAGAAGCUAGUUAUGCCCUUGCAAUUUGACACUGACCUCUGACAAAUGCUGAGUAAUGUCAACCAUGAAUGCAAGGUCAUAUAGCCAGUUGAGGUCACUCAGCCCACCCACGAAUUUUCUCUUAAUCUCCAUGAAAAGUUUCACUUCAUUCCUCAAUUCAUAAAACCGCGUCAGCAUCCUCCCCCAGUUCAGCCAUCACAUUUCACAAUAAUAAACUAAAUCACCAUACUCUGCUUUGAGAUCUUUCAACAGCUCUUUAAACUGGUGGCUGUUCAGUAUUUUAUGUUUGAUAAAGUUAAUGCUUGAUAUUGCUACUGAUAUUUUGUUGUUCAAUUGCAUGGAUUGUGUGCACAGAUUCUCUUGAAUGAUGCAAUGACACAAUCAACUUACUUGGAUCAAAACCAACACAAUCCAUUCUUUCUUGACUAAGGCAACUAAUCCCUUCUGAGAUCCAACCGUCGUUAGAGCACCACUGGUAGUGGUGUCUGGGUAGAGCUGGACACUGCAGGAAGUCACUGCCCCACAGCUCCCUGUUGCAGCUGCCCUAUGUAGGGAAGGGACUCCGUCCAUUUCCCCGAUGCAACCUGGAGCAGCUCUGGGCAGUAAGUGCUGAAGUGGAGAAGGAGCUCUGGUGCUUUCUGUGAUGCUGCCUGGAGCAGCUGCCCCCUCCAGCCACCUCACCUGCAUGCCUCCUCACCUGUAUUCAAGGAGCCAGAAGUGUCCAGGUAGGUGCUGCAGGUGAAUUUAGCUUGAGAUUGGCAGCCACUGGACUGCCUACAGCAGUACUGCAUGACUGUUGGACCCCCCUGUGAGCCCAACUUAGUUGUCCAGAGGACCAAAUGUAAUCCUUAGGCUAUAGGGUCCCCACCCCUGAGGAGACCCUCAGAGGAGACAUCCUCACAGAGUUGUUUCACUGCAUUCCAGUGUAGUCUGCUGCUAAGCAGGAGUCACUUGUCACUGGCAGUGCACAGUAGAGCUCUCAUUAAUGCAGGAUAGGAUUCCUCUCCACCAGGGGUCAGCAACCAUUGCGAAGUUGUGUGCCAAGUUUUAACCCUCCUGCCCUGGGCCGUGCUACUCUCUGGGGGGGAAGAGGGGGAGAGGCAGAGAGGAGGGAGAAGGGGCUUUCUCCCUCGCACACCCCUUCCACAAACAAACAGUUGCUAAUGGAAAGAGAACGAUUACUUACCUGUAUUUGUUGUUCUUCGAGAUGUGUUGUUCAUGUCCAUUCGAAUGAGGUGUGUGCACGCCACGUGCACGGUUCUCCGGAGCGUUUUUCCCCUGGUGGUACCCAUAGCACUGACAGGUCACUCCCUGGAGUGGCGCCGCUAUAGCGGAGCAUAAGUACCCCUGCCAGUGCUCCGCCUCCUCAGUUCCUUCUUGCCGGACACUGAAGGGGAAGUAGGGGGGAAUUGA
Non-coding RNA from Pelodiscus sinensis (Chinese soft-shelled turtle), 3473 nucleotides. Lineage: Eukaryota; Metazoa; Chordata; Testudines; Trionychidae. The record is from RefSeq and is a predicted model, not a curated record.